RNAcentral lists this ribosomal RNA (758 nucleotides) under uncultured archaeon. Its description in RNAcentral is "bacterial SSU rRNA". It matches the Rfam family "Archaeal small subunit ribosomal RNA", at positions 1 to 750 of the family's 1478-position model. The record is from RNAcentral.
UUCCGGUUGAUCCUGCCGGAGGCCACUGCUAUCGGGGUCCGACUAAGCCAUACGAGUCAAGGGGGUGUCCCUCUGGGACACCACCGGCGGACGGCUCAGUAACACGUCGGUAACCUACCCUCGGGAGGGGGAUAACCCCGGGAAACUGGGGCUAAUCCCCCAUAGGCCUGAGGUACUGGAAGGUCCUCAGGCCGAAAGGGGCUUUUGCCCGCCCGAGGAUGGGCCGGCGGCCGAUUAGGUAGUUGGUGGGGUAACGGCCCACCAAGCCGAAGAUCGGUACGGGCUGUGAGAGCAGGAGCCCGGAGAUGGACACUGAGACACGGGUCCAGGCCCUACGGGGCGCAGCAGGCGCGAAACCUCCGCAAUGCGGGAAACCGCGACGGGGGGACCCCGAGUGCCGUGGCACCGCCACGGCUUUUCCGGAGUGUAAAAAGCUCCGGGAAUAAGGGCUGGGCAAGGCCGGUGGCAGCCGCCGCGGUAAUACCGGCGGCCCGAGUGGUGGCCGCUAUUAUUGGGCCUAAAGCGUCCGUAGCCGGGCCCGUAAGUCCCUGGCGAAAUCCCACGGCUCAACCGUGGGGCUUGCUGGGGAUACUGCGGGCCUUGGGACCGGGAGAGGCGGGGGGUACCCCUGGGGUAGGGGUGAAAUCCUAUAAUCCCAGGGGGACCGCCAGUGGCGAAGGCGCCCCGCUGGAACGGGUCCGACGGUGAGGGACGAAGGCCAGGGGAGCAAACCCGAUUACAUACCCGGGUAGUCCUGG